CGGGUGAGUAACACGUGGAUAACCUACCUAUAAGACUGGGAUAACUUCGGGAAACCGGAGCUAAUACCGGAUAAUAUUUUGAACCGCAUGGUUCAAAAGUAAAAGACGGUCUUGCUGUCACUUAUAGAUGGAUCCGCGCUGCAUUAGCUAGUUGGUGAGGUAACGGCUUACCAAGGCAACGAUGCAUAGCCGACCUGAGAGGGUGAUCGGCCACACUGGAACUGAGACACGGUCCAG
RNAcentral lists this ribosomal RNA (237 nucleotides) under uncultured Staphylococcus sp. Its description in RNAcentral is "partial 16S ribosomal RNA". It matches the Rfam family "Bacterial small subunit ribosomal RNA", at positions 103 to 334 of the family's 1533-position model. Lineage: Bacteria; Bacillati; Bacillota; Bacilli; Caryophanales; Staphylococcaceae. The record is from RNAcentral.